UCCAGACUCCUACGGGAGGCAGCAGUGGGGAAUAUUGCACAAUGGGGGGAACCCUAAUGCAGCGACGCCGCGUGGGUGAAGGAGCACCUCGGUGCGUAAAGCCCUAUCGGCAGGGAAGAAACAGACGGUACCUGACUAAGAAGCCCCGGCUAACUACGUGCCAGCAGCCGCGGUAAUACGUAGGGGGCAAGCGUUAUCCGGAUUCACUGGGUGUAAAGGGAGCGUAGACGGCGACGCAAGUCUGGAGUGAAAGCCCGGGGCCCAACCCCGGGACUGCUCUUGGAACUGCGCGGCUGGAGUGCAGGAGGGGCAGGCGGAAUUCCUGGAGUAGCGGUGAAAUGCGUAGAUAUCAGGAGGAACACCGGUGGCGGAGGCGGCCUGCUGGACUGCGACUGACGUUGAGGCCCGAAAGCGUGGGGAGCAAACAGGAUUAGAUACCCCGGUACGU
Molecule: ribosomal RNA, 448 nt
Filed under: uncultured bacterium
Lineage: Bacteria
Description: partial 16S ribosomal RNA
Rfam family: Bacterial small subunit ribosomal RNA
Source: RNAcentral